AAAAAUUGCCUUGACUAUUUGAAUUGUACACCGACAAAGCACUGAAAAGCAGUAGGAUUAACAUCACUGGUUUUUGUGACUUUUACUGAGUAUAUCCUUUGUUGUAGAUUCUUUAUAAUCUUCUUAGCCUAAAUGCCUAUAAAGCCUAUAUCAAAGUUAGUUUUUGAAUUCUCGUUCAAAUUUUAACACGAGAUAUCGAUUAUCACAUCAAAAAUACUAUACUUCCAUAUCACAGUAUGCCACUUAAAUAGGUAGUAAGAUAGG
This is a non-coding RNA of Cinara cedri, 264 nucleotides long. NCBI's taxonomy places the organism in Eukaryota, Metazoa, Arthropoda, Insecta, Hemiptera, Aphididae. The record is from the annotation of a GenBank genome assembly.